RNAcentral lists this ribosomal RNA (479 nucleotides) under Moraxella sp. canine oral taxon 017. RNAcentral describes it as "bacterial SSU rRNA". It matches the Rfam family "Bacterial small subunit ribosomal RNA", at positions 9 to 483 of the family's 1533-position model. The record is from RNAcentral. Lineage: Bacteria; Pseudomonadati; Pseudomonadota; Gammaproteobacteria; Moraxellales; Moraxellaceae.
GAGUUUGAUCAUGGCUCAGAUUGAACGCUGGCGGCAGGCUUAACACAUGCAAGUCGAACGAUGAUUACUAGCUUGCUAGUAUGAUUAGUGGCGAACGGGUGAGUAAUGCUUAGGAAUCUGCCUAUUAGUGGGGGACAACAUUCCGAAAGGAAUGCUAAUACCGCAUACGUCCUACGGGAGAAAGCAGGGGAUCUUUUGACCUUGCGCUAAUAGAUGAGCCUAAGUCGGAUUAGCUAGUUGGUGGGGUAAAGGCCUACCAAGGCGACGAUCUGUAGCUGGUCUGAGAGGAUGAUCAGCCACACUGGGACUGAGACACGGCCCAGACUCCUACGGGAGGCAGCAGUGGGGAAUAUUGGACAAUGGGCGAAAGCCUGAUCCAGCCAUGCCGCGUGUGUGAAGAAGGCCUUUUGGUUGUAAAGCACUUUAAGUGGGGAGGAAAAGCUAAUAAUUAAUACCUAUAGGCCCUGACNUACCCCNGA